GACGAACGCUGGCGGCGUGCCUAAUACAUGCAAGUCGAACGCUUCUUUUUCACCGAACUUCGGUUCAUCGAAAAAGAGGAGUGGCGAACGGGUGAGUAACACGUGGGUAACCUGCCCAUCAGAAGGGGAUAACACUUGGAAACAGGUGCUAAUACCGUAUAAUGCUUUUUCUCGCAUGAGAGCAAGCUGAAAGGCGCUUUUGCGUCACUGAUGGAUGGACCCGCGGUGCAUUAGCUAGUUGGUGAGGUAACGGCUCACCAAGGCCACGAUGCAUAGCCGACCUGAGAGGGUGAUCGGCCACACUGGGACUGAGACACGGCCCAGACUCCUACGGGAGGCAGCAGUAGGGAAUCUUCGGCAAUGGACGAAAGUCUGACCGAGCAACGCCGCGUGAGUGAAGAAGGUUUUCGGAUCGUAAAACUCUGUUGUUAGAGAAGAACAAGGAUGAGAGUAAAAUGUUCAUCCCUU
Molecule: ribosomal RNA, 468 nt
Filed under: Enterococcus sp. oral taxon A43
Lineage: Bacteria; Bacillati; Bacillota; Bacilli; Lactobacillales; Enterococcaceae
Description: bacterial SSU rRNA
Rfam family: Bacterial small subunit ribosomal RNA
Source: RNAcentral